CGAAAGCCUGACGGAGCAAUACCGCGUGAGGGAGGAAGGCUCUUGGGUCGUAAACCUCUUUUCUCAAGGAAGAUAAUGACGGUACUUGAGGAAUAAGCAUCGGCUAACUCCGUGCCAGCAGCCGCGGUAAUACGGAGGAUGCAAGCGUUAUCCGGAAUGAUUGGGCGUAAGGAGUCCGUAGGUGGUAGUUCAAGUCUGUGGUUAAAGCGUGGAGCUUAACUCCAUAAAGGCCAUGGAAACUGAACAACUAGAGUGAGGUAGGGGUAGAGGGAAUUCUCGGUGUAGCGGUGAAAUGCGUAGAUAUCGGGAAGAACACCGGUGGCGAAAGCGCUCUACUGGACCUUAACUGACACUGAGGGACGAAAGCUAGGGGAGCG
Molecule: ribosomal RNA, 377 nt
Filed under: uncultured cyanobacterium
Lineage: Bacteria; Bacillati; Cyanobacteriota
Description: bacterial SSU rRNA
Rfam family: Bacterial small subunit ribosomal RNA
Source: RNAcentral